RNAcentral lists this small RNA (1025 nucleotides) under uncultured Acidimicrobium sp. RNAcentral's name for it is "bacterial SSU rRNA". The stretch from base 1 to 470 matches the Rfam family "Bacterial small subunit ribosomal RNA", at positions 1064 to 1533 of the family's 1533-position model. The record is from RNAcentral. Lineage: Bacteria; Bacillati; Actinomycetota; Acidimicrobiia; Acidimicrobiales; Acidimicrobiaceae.
GUCGUGAGAUGUUGGGUUAAGUCCCGCAACGAGCGCAACCCUUGUCCUAUGUUGCCAGCGGGUAAUGCCGGGGACUCGUAGGAGACUGCCGGGGUCAACUCGGAGGAAGGUGGGGAUGAGGUCAAGUCAUCAUGCCCCUUACGUCCAGGGCUGCACACAUGCUACAAUGGCCGGUACAACGGGUCGCUAUCCCGCGAGGGGGAGCCAAUCCCAAAAGCCGGUCUCAGUUCGGAUUGCAGUCUGCAACUCGACUGCAUGAAGUCGGAGUCGCUAGUAAUCCCGGAUCAGCAACGCCGGGGUGAAUACGUUCCCGGGCCUUGUACACACCGCCCGUCACACCACGAAAGUCGGUAACACCCGAAGCCGGUGGCCCAACCCUUGGGAGGGAGCCGUCGAAGGUGGGAUCGGCGAUUGGGGUGAAGUCGUAACAAGGUAGCCGUACCGGAAGGUGCGGCUGGAUCACCUCCUUUCUAAGGAGUCAAUAUCGGUCCAUUCCGGACCGGUGAAACUCCCAGUCGAUCACUGGCUACUCGGCAUAUCAGAUAUCCCGGUGCUCGCCGGUCCUGCAAUCUCCGUUCUUUUUGCGGUUAUUGCCCCGUCCUUAGGGACAUCGUCCUUAGGGACAUCGGCCGGCCCCACUGGGCUCUACCUGAUAAGUCGGGCAUCACUAUUCCGUUUUGAGGGAGCGACCCUCCAUGGCUUUCGAGCCUGGUGGCAAGUUCCCGCGAUGCCGGCGCCUCUAUAUCGGGCGGCCGGCCUCUCGUCGCUCCGUGGCACGGCCUUCGAGCUUGCACGGCCCCUGUUUCUUCAGGAUUCAUUUCUCUAGAAAUCGGUGUCUUGCGGGUCUUCGGGUUACGGCACAAAAGCGUACGUUCCUUGAGAAUUCUAUAGCGAGCACGAGCAUCUUUGUUUUUCAAGCUACGAAGAGCCAACGGUGGAUGCCUUGGCGCCUGAAGCCGAAGAAGGACGUGGGAGGCUGCGAUAAGCCACGGGGAGCUGCCGACCGAGCCUCGAUCCGUGGAUGU